CCUACGGGUGACUGCAGUCGAGAAUCUUUCACAAUGGGGGAAACCCUGAUCGUGCGACGCCGCGUGGGGGAAUGAAGGUCUUCGGAUUGUAAACCCCUUUCAUGUGGGAGCAAAUUAAGAUGAUAGUACCACAAGAAGAAUAUACGGCUAACUCUGUGCCAGCAGCUGCGGUAAUACAGAGGUCUCAAGCGUUGUUCGGAAUCACUGGGCGUAAAGCGUGCGUAGGCUGUUUCGUAAGUCGUGUGUGAAAGGCGGGGGCUCAACCCGCGGACGGCACAUGAUACUGCGAGACUAGAGUAGUGGAGGGGGAACCGGAAUGCUUGGUGUAGCAGUGAAAUGCGUAGAGAUC
Molecule: ribosomal RNA, 349 nt
Filed under: uncultured bacterium
Lineage: Bacteria
Description: partial 16S ribosomal RNA
Rfam family: Bacterial small subunit ribosomal RNA
Source: RNAcentral